Ailuropoda melanoleuca (giant panda) is the source of this 1833-nucleotide long non-coding RNA. RefSeq lists it as uncharacterized. The record is from RefSeq and is a predicted model, not a curated record. The transcript has 4 exons. NCBI's taxonomy places the organism in Eukaryota, Metazoa, Chordata, Mammalia, Carnivora, Ursidae.
CUGGCCUGCUGCGAAGUGGGAAGUGCCCUUGGAGGAGAGGACAGGCACAUGUGGGGGGCUCACCUGGAAAACAUCCCUCCUCUCAAGAAUGAUGUUACCUACGAUUUCUGGCUACUUUGGAUGUUCUCUAAUGCCUUCAGAGGAUCGAGGAAUGGAGUGCACUUUUUUUUAAAGAUGUGGAAAUGGAGCCCCAGAAGGCAAAGAUAUAACCAAGAGCACGCAGCUGAUGAAUGGAAGAACCCAAGCCACAUUGUGAUUCUUCUGAAUGUGUGUCCUGUGUUUUCCUCACUGCUGAAAUGAUAACCAUCUUACCAGGUGACUUGCAACAGGAGUUGUAUAUGUUAUUCUUGCUAUAACUUUGUACACAGACAGCAGAAGGAAAUGGGAACAUUUGCUCACCUCAUUCCAGUGUAUGAAUUCCAACGUGGAUUAUGGUGUUGAGGCCCCAUAUGUGGUAUUCAAGACUGAAGAGCCCAUUCUUUUGGAACUACACUGAUAUCUGAUUAUGGAGUUCUGAAAAUUUGCCUUGAUGGAAACUCUCGUCCAUUUGUGGUGGAGUUUGUCUAGAAAAACAUUUCCAUUGUCUAUCACUGGGCAAUAAAUGAGGAUUGGGAAGGCUGAAUCCAAAGCAGUGUAAUCAUGUUCCAGGGCAUUCCCACAGGACAUGGGGGCAAGAAGCAACACGAAUGGAUUGGAAAAAUAAAUUUGAAUUUCUGGAGGAACAUCCCAGAAAUAGCUAUGGUUAACUUUGGAGCAGACACCUGGUGAAUCAUUGUCUGAUAGGAGGGAUUGUUUUGGACGAGUGCACUCUGGUUGUGAUAUCCAGAUCAUCUUCUACCCAGUUCCGCCACACAGUGAGGACUUGCCUGCCACUGAGGGUCAGGAUUCUAACUCCCUCUAAUUGCUAUUCCCAUCUGCUGUAGAGGAAAAAAUCAACGUUUGUGGGUAUCUUUUUUUUUUUUUUUUAAUUUUUGACCAAAGCAGAAACAAAAUGAUAAAUAAUAUGCCUGGAGAAAAAUCACUUCUCUCUCAACCCUAAUACCAAAUAGUCAAACCAGUUGCAAGGGGACCAAUUCAGAAAGAAGAAAUAGAUUUGGUAACUGAAGCUUGACUCUUCCACUUCAGGGCUAACAUCAAACUCAGACAUCAAAUGGCUAAUAGAGGAUAUACCACUGGGGAGAAGAGAGACAGCAAGGUACAGGAAACCACACUUACUGUUUACCCAUGGCAUGCAGGCACCUUAACUAAUAUCUCUAAUGCCUACAGGAACCCUGUAAAAUAAGUAAAACUAUUCUAUUUGCAAACAUGGAAACUGAAACUCAGAGAGCUUCCAGAAUUUGCCCUAACCUAUGGCUGGCAAACAGGGAUUCAAGGAAAAUCUGUGAAUUGGAGGUCUUCGGGAGAGCCUGUCAACGGGUAAUGAUUUCUUAGCUUGGGUAAAUCUUGUAGGAAUGUAACUACCUGCAAAGGAAUUUUUAAAAUAUCAUCUCUGACAGCCAACCAGAACUACCAUAAAAAACAAAGAAGUCUUAUUAGUUUCAUAAACAUGGUAGGGAUUAUGACUGACAAUAACAAAAAUAUAAAUAUGUCCCGGGUUCCUUAAUUUGCUCAUAAUUAUUACUGCAUUUGUGACCCUAGCCCAAGUUGGCCAUUUUUUCGAGUCAUAGUGACAUACAUAAAUAGUAACAGACAGAAGAAAAUAUCAUUGUUUUUCAGGGUGAAUUAAAGAUGAAGAAACACACUUUUUUCAGAAUUGUGUAAUUUAUGCAAAGUAAUAUGGUGCAGAAUAACAUGAUGUCUGUAUUAGGCCUGCGCUGUAAGGGAAAGAGAAUU